Molecule: small RNA, 27 nt
Filed under: Bombyx mori (domestic silkworm)
Lineage: Eukaryota; Metazoa; Arthropoda; Insecta; Lepidoptera; Bombycidae
Description: ovarian small RNA-20482
Source: RNAcentral
UACAUUGAGGGAAGCAUUAGAAACACA